This is a long non-coding RNA of Enhydra lutris kenyoni (northern sea otter), 5833 nucleotides long. RefSeq lists it as uncharacterized. Lineage: Eukaryota; Metazoa; Chordata; Mammalia; Carnivora; Mustelidae. The transcript has 2 exons. The record is from RefSeq and is a predicted model, not a curated record.
CAUAAGCAAUGACCAAAAAGAGGGAGAGUUUGCAAAUAAAAAUGACCGGAGUGGAAAAUAAGGUGGUGAUGCCAGAAACUCAGGAAAUGGUGAAAGAUAAGCAACACAGGGACCGCCUCCAACCACGGAGAGCUUGCUCUGACACUGGCACACACAUGGCGCAGGGCAGACCGAGGACCCACACGCCAGUUCGUAAGGUGGUUGCGUCUCUGCUGGUGCAUCCUACACGUAGCAGAGUCGAGGGGGGCGCUGCGCGGGGGCCUUAUUCGGGGCCCACCCAGCACCCAGAACAGCAGAUGGUGCCCCUCCAGAGCACAAUGAGGAUGAAACAAGCCCGUAGGCCACAGGCUCCUGGGACAGCAGUGGGCACGUGGUAGGCGCGAUUCCACUGGCCUAAAGCCAGGGCCCUUUCUGUCUGUACUUCCCUUGCUCCAGGAAGAGUCCUAAGCCCCAUGUCACCCUCGGGCACUUUCCCGCAGGCCCCGGCUCCUCUGUCCAUGGCCUCCUUGGCACUCCCUGCGAUACCCCUCAGUGCCCUUUGGACACGUGCUCUUCAGAGCAUCUGAGCUGCGGCCCGCGAGCACAUCCGACUCGGGGGUGUGGUGCUUUGGGGGAUGGGCAGGCCCUGGGGCAAACUGCUGACCUUGUGCAGCUGUGGGGAAACCCCAGCAGGUGGAACAGGCCCUAGCCAGGUGGACCCUGGAGAGCAACAGGAGACACUGGGCAGCAAUGCUCCAGACCUGGAGACCGCACGGAUCCGCGGAGGCCUUGGCUCUUCUCUCCUUCAUCAGUUCCUACACAAUGUGAUGUCCCACCUUGGUAACCUUUUCCCAGUAAUACUCCCUGGCCCUGGAGUCACUCUUCUCUCACUUUUUUGAAUGCUGGCUGGCUCUAAUCCUUGGUGAAUGCCCACCAGCCAGAACUGUCCUGACCACAACGGGCUCUAAGAUGGCAAGUUCCUCUGUCCCGAGACCCUGGUUCCUCCACAUUUGGGUCCUCCACCUGUUCAGACCCCGCCCCCCCAGGAGGGGCAACCCCUGUUCUGCAUCCCGCAUCUCCAUCCACAGCAGUGAUCUGCUGCCCAGGAGCAAGGCCGGGGUGACUGGGGACUGUGCCAGUGGCCUCGAGGUAUCCUCAGGAGCAGCUGAAAUAAGUCAACACCUCACCACGUGUGUCACCUGGCUCCCAUAAGCCCCGCAGUCAGGAGUGGCCAUGCCACCACGUCCCUCCCAAGUCUCUGUCAUCCCCACGCCACAGGCUCUGGGGCACAUGACCCGGAAGUGCUGUCUCCAGGGUCGGGUUGACAGCUGGAGCAUUACUGAUUCAGAUGUGUUUUUCUGUUUCCAUCAAGGGUCCACCCCAGCUAGGGGCUGCUAGCCAACACCUGAAAGCCUGAGAGCUGCCGGGUGUUUGCGAUGGUAAAAUUUUCCACCUUCCCCAGCGAAGGCCCAGGCCAAAGGAAGUAGGUCCCUUGGCAGAGAGGCACUUGGGAAAGGCCCAGCUGGACAAGAACGGUGUCCUGCCUCCAGGCCAGGGCUGCCAUCCCCAGCUGCUGGGGCUGACCAGGUGGAGGGUGCCAGAAGGACCAGAUUAGGUCACUGCUGAGGAUCUCAAUGAAGGUGCCAGAAUCCCCUGCUUCAUCAGCACCUGCCUGAGUCCGUCAGCAUGGGUGCCGUCACCCCCAACCUAACCCCCCCCCCCCACCCCAACUGCUGUCUGGCCCACUGUCCUCUGCUGUCCUUGCCUGGCACGAUGACUUCUGGGACCUCGCACCCUCCCAGAACCUGGAUGGCUCAACCCACUUGCAGUCAUGAUGCCCAGGGGGCUGAGUGCUCCCUGCCAGAUGUCACCUGUUCGCAUCACAUCAUUGCAGGCCCGCCGUCCCUGGAGUUAAUGGCCUAAAACAAGUUAUUUUGUUCACAGAUCCGUAGUUUAGUCAGGGCUCUGUGGAGACCAUCCAUCUCUGCUCCACUUGGUGUUGUCCGGGUCAGCCAGGAGGCCGGGCCAGGUCCCCUGAAGACUCAUUCACUCCCAGUGGGCUUGGUGAGUGCCUUGGGGACGCAGGCAGCUGGGCUGCUGGGCUUCUCUCUCUCAUUCUGGGUUCUCCACAUGGUCUCGCCAGUGUGAGGCUUCUGGGUAGCCAAACUUUUUUUUUUUUUUUAAUUGAAAUGAGAACAGAAAAUCCACUCUCUUAAACGAACAACUCAGUGGCAUUUAGGACAUCUGCGAUGUUGUGCAAAGAGCUCCUCUGUCUGGGUCUAGAACAUUUUUGUCACCCAAAAAGGAAACCCACCCCCAAGCAGCAGUCAGUCCCCACUGUCCUCUCCCCAUGACCCCUCGUGAUCACCCAUCUGCUUUCCAUCUCUGUGGCUCUGCCCAUUCUGACAUUUCCCUUCAAUGGAACCCUAUCCUGUGUGACCUGUGACUGGCUGGUUGGACUCAGCCUCAUGUUUUUGAGGUUUGUCUACACUGCAGCAUGUGUAUUUGAUUUCUUUUCCUGGCCGAAUUCUAGGACUACACCCCCAUUUUGUUUAUGGUUCCAUCCCCUGGUGGAUGCCUGGGCAGUUCCCACCUUCGGGGCUGCUGUGAACGGAGCGACUGUGAACAUGUCUGUACGCACACGAGUGGCUGCUUUCAAGUCUUUGGGUGGAUUCCAAGCAGUGGAACUGCCGGCGUAUGGUAAUUCCAGAUCUAGCUCGGAGCCAAACUAUCGCGCCUGCCGUGUGCUCGUUGUUGGAAGAGCCAGCAAGCAGCCAAAGCCCACACCUUUUGAGGGAAAGGCCUCCAGUCUUUAAUGGGAGGAGUGUCAAAGAAUUUAGGGGCCAGUUUUAAGUCACAAGAUCUUCAUGACAUUUCUCACUCAGAGGCCCCAGGAACACAGACCAGCACACCGCUCCGUCAUCGAGACAGUCUACCAGUGGAGCCAAGUGGGCCCUGCUGCGGAGCCCACUCACAUGCAGACUCCAGCCCAUCUCAGCCCGAGACAAAGGGAAGGGCCUUUAGGCCCCCGGGUCAUGCUGGGUUACUGUUUCCUACCCAGCUUCAACUCUCACCAAGGAAAAAGUAAAAACAGGACUACAAAAUUAGGCUCAGAGAUGAAGAAUUAGAAAUCACGGCAAAUCUCAAAGUUGACACAUACCCAGACAUCAAAAAUGCUGGAAAACCGACACAGCUGUUCAGCGACCAUGGCAUGUGUCUGUGAUGCCUGGCCCUCGCUGUUGGGCUGUGCACUCCCUGAUCACCCUUCGCAGGAGAACGAGCUCCUGAGCCUGUGUAAGGACAGAAAGCCUCCUCAAUCUUUCCUCCAGUGUGGUUGACCAAACUUGGAAUUACUGAUACUUUAGAAGAGUUUGUUUCAUCUUCACAGCUUACGUGGGCAGGGACAUUAAGUUUUCAGAACCAUUGUCGAAUGUGGGGCAACCAUGAUUGGGUUUCCUGAGCAGCUGUGUGAGCUGCAGGAUUCCAGGACAUGUCAAGAAUUCCCAGACUAAUCUUUAACCUGCUUCUGCAAACAAGGAACAGCGCAUUCACAGUUGGGCGUGGCUGCCAGGCCAGCGUAUUCCUCCAACAGGAGCAAACUUCCACCUUGAGCAGGCAUGGUUGAGAAGCAAAUCUUCCUGUUUUGAGUUUAUACAUCCAACAACUGGAAGAAUAUUCUGCACACUAGCUUCUGGCUCUACAUGUUUCAAGUCUUGUCUCUCCUCCAUUGACUCCCAUCAUUCAAGUCACAACAGGGGUGAUCAGCACGGAGGACAGUGUGUAGUACACACCUCAGCUUAGUCUGUUGUGUGACCACCGAACUGCCCUGCCCCGCCCAGAGCGUGUUCCCCCGCCUAGUCCGGCAUGGAUGGCACCACCAUGCUUCUGUCAGGCCAAAGCAAUGAAGUCACCUACAGCCCCUCUCGCUCACCCACGGCCCAUCUGUCAGCAACUCCUAGGGUCGCUACCUUCAGCCUGAGUCCAGACUCUGACUUCUCGGCCCGUCUGGUGCCCUGAGCUCUGCGCCACCACCAUCUACCUACCACCUGGAUUAUCAAGUAGCCUCCUGGGCCUCCCACCGCCUCCCUUGCAGGCUGUUCUCCUUUACAACCCACACCUCCAAUCCUGGGUGUUCCCCAUCUCAGAUAAGAGCCCCCAGACCCUGUACUUCUUAACUAUCUCCCCCACCCAUUUUGUAUCACACAUUUAUUCGCUGCUUUUGUCCCCUUGCCCACCACAACAGACAGUAUUUUUAGUCCUGACUGUAUCCCUAGCACCCGGAUUGGAGCCAAGCACAUUCCAGCUGUUCAGUGAGAGCCCCCACAGCCAGGGCUCUGGGCUGGAAGGGCCCCAGACAUACAAGGUGUGCACCAAGAGCUUCUGCCUUUAGGAACUGUGUCCUGGCGACUUGCCCUUUCCUUUGGGCAUUGUGUCACACAGAGUAGAACCCCACAUAGAUCCCCUGCCCCUUACCUCUUCCUACUGUCUAGUGGGCCUGGGCCUGUGUGGUCCAAAGACCACAGUUCCCCCUACCAUGGAGGUCAGUUCAUUCGCACAUCUGACCCUGUGGCCUCCCUGCUCCCAAAGCCUUCCACAGCCCUGGCCCAUCAAACCCACACUCCUCCCUGCAACAGCUCAGGCUCUUACCAGCCCAGGGAGGAGAACAGUACAGGGUUACCUGACGAAGCUGGGGUGGGAAAGAAGCGCCAGGAACAAAAGGCCCAGCCUGGCCUCCCAAGUCUGUGGACCCAACAAGGUGUCACGCAUGAACCCAUUACCCACAGGAGUGAAACUCUGAGUCCUGGGGAGCCUCUCACUUGCGAACAGUUUAAUUGCUCAAACCCAUGAGGCCAGCCCCCCAUAGCCCAGAGGCCGCAUGUGAGCCCCGGUGGCGCAUGCCCCUUUCCAGCCUGGCCCUGUCCCGCAGGUCCUGAGGCAAGCUAUCAGUUUUAUUUUGUCCCAUUUGCCAAAGCCCACCUGUGUCCCCACCCCCUUUGCUCCUGGCUUGCAAUCCAGUCACUGACUGGGAACAAACACCUUUAUAGGUAAACCCGGGAACAGGAUACAGGUCAAGGGAAAUGAAUCUGCUGGGUGUUCUGGGUUACACGUAACUGGGACAGCACAUGAGCAAGGUCUACACCAGAAGCUCCCGGCUGGCCUGGCCAGAAUUACCCCCUGAGUUUUCCUCAAGUGCCCAGUGCACAGGAAGUGCUCGAUGAAGUGGGGUAACAUGUCCCACGGUGUGGUGGUAAUGAAAAGGCCCCGUGGUUUAAAAAAAAAAAAAAAAAAAAAAAGCCCUGCGUCACGUGCCACAAUGCACCAGCACCUGCAUCUUUCACAGCGUCUCUGGCCAAGAAACCCAGACUCCACUCUGCAUCACCGGGGCUCCUGAGCCUCUUGAAAUCCUGACAGUCUGGGAGAGCUGUUCCCUUUCCAUCAUGUUUAAAACUUUAAAAAAUUGCUACAUAUGAAUAUAGUUGUAGGAGUGGUAAACACAUGGCUCACCACAUUCCCGUCCUCCGUCCCCAGAGAAAACCACUGAACUUAGCUUUGUCCUCUGCAUUUACCUCCACAUUUCUAGGUAACGUGCUUCUACUGAGCUCUUGAAUUUUCAGUUUUACGCAUCAUCUGCUGGAUUCCUACUAUGGUCAAUGAGAACUUCGCCCCAUCAUGCUCUGCACAUACGUUCCCGGUCCCCUUAGGAGAGUUCUGUUGUCAGUUUUUGCCAGAGCAACAUGCAUCAUCUGUGUGUUCAUUAUUCCUAUGUAAUCACAGCGGAGUCAUGUAAGGCCUAUGGUUCCUCUUCCUUAGUAUUUCUGUGGCAUUAAUAAACGGUGUAUUUUUACUUGCUUAA